This 425-nucleotide ribosomal RNA is filed under the name uncultured bacterium. Its description in RNAcentral is "bacterial SSU rRNA". It matches the Rfam family "Bacterial small subunit ribosomal RNA", at positions 355 to 796 of the family's 1533-position model. The record is from RNAcentral.
UAGGGAAUUUUCCACAAUGGGCGAAAGCCUGAUGGAGCAACGCCGCGUGCAGGAUGAAUGCCUUCGGGUUGUAAACUGCUUUUAUAUGUGACGAUUAUGACGGUAGCAUAUGAAUAAGGAUCGGCUAACUCCGUGCCAGCAGCCGCGGUCAUACGGAGGAUCCAAGCGUUAUCCGGAAUUACUGGGCGUAAAGAGUUGCGUAGGUGGCAUGGUAAGUUGGUAGUGAAAGCGUUCCGCUCAACGGAAUACACAUUAUCGAAACUGCCAAGCUAGAGGACGAGAGAGGUUAUUGGAAUUCCUGAUGUAGGGGUAAAAUCCGUUGAUAUUAGGAGGAACACCGAUGGCGUAGGCAGAUAACUGGCUCGUUCCUGACACUCAGGCACGAAAGCGUGGGGAGCAAACAGGAUUAGAUACCCCCGUAGUCC